UUAACUAUUAUCAAGUACUCAGACAACACUAAAUCAAGAGUUUGAGAUCCUCUGGCAGGCACUGACCAGCCGAGGCCGGUGGCCCAAAGGCGGGCCUGCCAAAGCAACAUAGGUAUGGUAAACAAAGGGUGGGAGAUCUACCCCGAAGGGCAAGUUCUCUGUAAUGAUCCUUCCGCAGGUUCACCUACGGAACGCUAAGGUCCAACCGCAUUUUCAGCGGUGGGCCGGUCAUAUCUGAAUCCAGCUGUGUGGACCACCUUCGUUUGAUCUGUGGACUGCAAGGGCAGCUGCAUGUUACCUCUGGUCGGUAUCCAAGCACAGUGAAGAUGUUGCCUACAAGGGGUAGACUAGGUUACAAGGCUUCAGGAGAAGGAAAA
This 377-nucleotide unclassified non-coding RNA is filed under the name uncultured fungus. RNAcentral's name for it is "sequence contains ITS1". The record is from RNAcentral. Lineage: Eukaryota; Fungi.